Molecule: small nucleolar RNA, 81 nt
Organism: Dioscorea cayenensis subsp. rotundata (Guinea yam)
Lineage: Eukaryota; Viridiplantae; Streptophyta; Magnoliopsida; Dioscoreales; Dioscoreaceae
Product: small nucleolar RNA snoR53Y
Exons: 1
Source: RefSeq, a predicted model, not a curated record
GUUCCCAAUGAUGCUGAAGAAACCAUGCUAAUACUGAAAUAUAUUGAUGAUUAAUACAUUACUUGAUACGCUGAGGGAACC